RNAcentral lists this ribosomal RNA (253 nucleotides) under uncultured bacterium. Its description in RNAcentral is "partial 16S ribosomal RNA". It matches the Rfam family "Bacterial small subunit ribosomal RNA", at positions 524 to 776 of the family's 1533-position model. The record is from RNAcentral.
UACGAAGGAGGCGAGCGUUGUCCGGAUUUACUGGGCGUAAAGCGCGCGCAGGCGGCACUUCAAGUAAGGUGUGAAAUCUCCCUGCUCAACGGGGAGGGUGCACUUUAGACUGGGGAGCUAGAGGACGGUAGAGGGGGGUGGAAUUGCUGGUGUAGCGGUGAAAUGCGUAGAGAUCAGCAGGAACACCUGUGGCGAAGGCGGCCCCCUGGGCCGUACCUGACGCUGAGGCGCGAAGGCUAGGGGAGCGAACGGG